GACGAACGCUGGCGGCGUGCUUAACACAUGCAAGUCGAACGGAAAGGCUCCAGCUUGCUGGAGUACUCGAGUGGCGAACGGGUGAGUAACACGUGGGUAAUCUGCCCUGCACUCUGGGAUAAGCCUGGGAAACUGGGUCUAAUACUGGAUAUGACCUUUCUCCUUAUGGGGUUUGGUGGAAAGUUUUUCGGUGUAGGAUGAGCCCGCGGCCUAUCAGCUUGUUGGUGGGGUGAUGGCCUACCAAGGCGACGACGGGUAGCCGGCCUGAGAGGGUGAUCGGCCACAUGGGGACUGAGAUCGGGCCGAGACCCCUACGGGAGGCAGAGGGGGGGAAUAUGGCAAAGUGGGCGGACGCCUGCUGCGGCGCCCCGGGGGGGGGGAGGGCGGCUUGGGGGUUGAAAACCUCUUCCAGCGGGGACGAAGCGACAGGGACGGUACCGGAAGAAGAAGCCCCGGCUAACUAUGUC
RNAcentral lists this ribosomal RNA (467 nucleotides) under uncultured bacterium. RNAcentral describes it as "partial 16S ribosomal RNA". It matches the Rfam family "Bacterial small subunit ribosomal RNA", at positions 28 to 507 of the family's 1533-position model. The record is from RNAcentral.